Molecule: long non-coding RNA, 1674 nt
Organism: Oxyura jamaicensis (ruddy duck)
Lineage: Eukaryota; Metazoa; Chordata; Aves; Anseriformes; Anatidae
Exons: 2
Source: RefSeq, a predicted model, not a curated record
ACCUCGUGCAUGGAGAUGACCCUUUAAAGCCCACCGGAGGAUUUACCUUCGACUGCUCCACGUACAAACCCCAACAGCUUCUGCGUGCUUGUUUCCAGGGAAGGGGGCUGUGUUGAGCUCUUCCCGUACUAUCUCUGCCAUUCAUUUCACGCCGUACCUUGGGAAUACUUCUCCGCGUUGCAAAGUGCUUUUGAGCCAUGAAUUGUAUCUUCCUACUAAUCCCAGGAAUUUUACAGUGGCUCUGAUAUCUGCACGCCGACAGCUCUUAAUAUUUCUUGAAUAUACCAUGUGUUAUCUCCCUGAGAUUGCCUUCCCCGUCUUAUCAUUCUCUCCUUUCACGUUACGGAUGUAGAAAUGUCAGCAGCCGUGUCCCGUUCCGUGCCCUCAUCUCCCAUGUCUUCGUGUCCUUUCCCCUCCCUGCUGCUCCACAUCUCUCUGCGAAACCUUACAUGCAGGUACAAAUUCUGGUCCCAUCCUUGCACCCAGGCUGUGCCCUGCUGCUCCUCUCAUGGAAAAGGGGCUUCCCCUCAUUUCCACGAAGCCAUUUCUUCUAGGAAUUCCUCCGUCAUCCCCUUUAUUUUUUUUACCAAAGCUCACGACAAGAUCUGCAUUUGAGCCCAAACACAGAAAUCUUUACACGAGUCUUUCUUUGGAGUUGAAGACUUCUCUUAGGCCCCCAUUCAGGAAAUAAUUUAGCUGAAGUCAAGCCUACGUUUAAGUGUCCCAGCUCUUUGGAAGGACCAAGCAGCUGCCGUCGUGUUGCUGAGUUUUUGGAGCAUGGUUAAAUUCCCUGCUUUCAGCAAAAUUAUCCGGGGGCGGGAGCCUCUUCACGUGGCACAGGAUGACAGAAACCCAAGGGCUAAGGGGCAGUUCCAAGCUGUAGCUGGUUUGUGGCUGUAUCCAGAGCAAAUUAAGUGAAGUGCAGUGUAAGAGAAGGAAAUUUCCUAUUUAAUAGCAGCCUCGAGAUCAGAACGUUGUUUAUUAGCUGUGUUUUUUUUAAGCUGCGGUGCAUUAUCAGAGCGUUUUCUUCAAAGGAUGCGGUCGCACAGGUCAAAUCCAAGCUUUUGCAGUGAUCUGCAAAAGCAUUUCUGAAAUCAGGACUGGGCCUUUUCCCAUGGUUUUUAUGAAAAAGGUCUGAAAAAAAAAAUAAGUCUUUCUCACCCAUCUCCACGCAGACUUCGGAGAUGAAGAAUAAUGCCUCGUCUUCGGGGUUGACUCCGUAACUCCUUGGCUGUCCGAGCUGUUUAUUCCGAGCACGUUGCCUCGAAAGAGCUGAGGGAUUUUGACUCUGCAGCCUUUCCACGGAGUGCUCAGUAAUCGCUGGAGUGAAAUGGAUGCUCGUGAAACCAGCUCACAGCAGGACUUGGUGGCAGUCCCGCUCAACCCUUCCUCCUCUCCAGCGCCAAGUUUUCGGGCUCUCGGCUGUCAUCGGAUCGGUGGAUUCCCAGGCUCAGGCACUUUCCAGGGCUGAUGAAGCAGGAAUGAGGGGUUUCUUGCCAAAAAAAAACUUCUGGUGCUGUCUUCUGCACAUCGCUGAAGGCCUGGUUUUGAAUUUGCUGCUAAAUGGCACAAAACAGCUUUCUUCGCAAAAACUUGUUGAAAUCCCCACGUUCCCCUGGAAAGUUUCCAUUUCAGCUCGGUUUAAUUUUCCCAAUUUAAAAAAAAAAAAAAAAA